This 236-nucleotide ribosomal RNA is filed under the name uncultured bacterium. RNAcentral's name for it is "partial 16S ribosomal RNA". It matches the Rfam family "Bacterial small subunit ribosomal RNA", at positions 524 to 760 of the family's 1533-position model. The record is from RNAcentral.
GACAGAGGAUGCAAGCGUUAUCCGGAAUGAUUGGGCGUAAGCGUCUGUAGGUGGCUUUCAAGUCCGCCGUCAAAUCCCAGGGCUCAACCCUGGACAGGCGGUGGAAACUACCAAGCUGGAGUACGGUAGGGCAGAGGGAAUUUCCGGUGGAGCGGUGAAAUGCAUUGAGAUCGGAAAGAACACCAACGGCGGAAAGCAGCUCUGCUGGGCCGACACUGACACUGAGAGACGAAAGC